RNAcentral lists this ribosomal RNA (223 nucleotides) under uncultured bacterium. RNAcentral describes it as "partial 16S ribosomal RNA". It matches the Rfam family "Bacterial small subunit ribosomal RNA", at positions 524 to 742 of the family's 1533-position model. The record is from RNAcentral.
UACGUAGGGUGCAAGCGUUAAUCGGAAUUACUGGGCGUAAAGCGUGCGCAGGCGGUUUUUGUAAGUCUGUCGUGAAAGCCCCGGGCUCAACCUGGGAAUUGCGAUGGAGACUGCAAGGCUUGAAUCUGGCAGAGGGGGGUAGAAUUCCACGUGUAGCAGUGAAAUGCGUAGAGAUGUGGAGGAACACCGAUGGCGAAGGCAGCCCCCUCGGGUCGAAGAAUUG